UUUACCCCACCAAUGAGCAUAACAAUUCUGAAUUAUGGAGUACAAGAUUAAAUAUCAACUAAUUUACAUUUAACACACAUACACCUGUACAUAAUGGAGCCCUACGGAUAAUCACAAUAAGAUUCCUUACUGGUUCGUUAAAGCAUCCAAAUAUUCAAUCCACUUAUAUGGAUAUGGAUUUCACCUGAAAUAAAUCGAAACUCCCCCAAUAAUAAAGAGAGCCUAGGUUUGGCUAACUGCAAUUCCGGAUAAUGUAUUAAGGAAUAGGGCAUUCCAAGAGUCGGCUUCCAAAAUUGGCCUCCCUUUCUUGUAAGACAUAACAAACUACAUUCCGCGCCGUAUCGACCGAUACCCCCGAUUUUCCUUCCUCUGGAGGUGUUCGUCCGGUCUAGUAUGUGGAUGGAUGGUAACGAGAGCGAACUAGGGUUGAAGUCAAACAUAUGUAAGGAUGAUUGACAGCUAAUGGAAACAAAAGCAAUUCGAAUGUACGUGUGUGCAUGUGUAAGAUGCAAAUGAAUUGCAAAACAAGAUAAGGUAUGCAAAAACAGAUGCUAUGGAUAGGGCACUCGGCACAUAGCGCAGCAGCCCAGAGGCGAAUUUCCUACUGCCCCUAUUAAAUGGGCAUCGGUCGGCUCAAUCGUUAGUGUCGACGAGGUGAGAAUGAACAUCGUCAGC
This is a long non-coding RNA of Drosophila elegans, 675 nucleotides long. RefSeq lists it as uncharacterized. The record is from RefSeq and is a predicted model, not a curated record. NCBI's taxonomy places the organism in Eukaryota, Metazoa, Arthropoda, Insecta, Diptera, Drosophilidae. The transcript has 3 exons.